This 171-nucleotide unclassified non-coding RNA is filed under the name uncultured Kotlabaea. RNAcentral's name for it is "partial internal transcribed spacer 2". The record is from RNAcentral. Lineage: Eukaryota; Fungi; Ascomycota; Pezizomycetes; Pezizales; Pyronemataceae.
AAAUCACUCAAGCUUAGGUUUACCUAUUGCUUGGUCUUGGAGAUGGAAGCCGAUUUAUUGGAAUCCUCUUCGAAAUUCAAUGGCGAAGACCCUUGCUCUCCCAAGUGUAGUAAUAACUUAUGUCACUGAAGGAAGCGAGAAAUCUUCUGCCGUAACCCCCAUAUUUUCUAU